Molecule: RNA transcript, 1366 nt
Organism: Apis dorsata (giant honeybee)
Lineage: Eukaryota; Metazoa; Arthropoda; Insecta; Hymenoptera; Apidae
Gene name: tumor protein D54
Exons: 6
Source: RefSeq, a predicted model, not a curated record
AGCUUCGUAAAAAAAAAGUGAUUUAUCGCGUUGACAUGAAAACCGAUAUGCCGGACAUUAAGCAAGGAGAGGUAAAAAUUGAAAAUCGCCGCGAACCAUCGAAACAAGGUUCGAGAUCGAGAGUGUGUCAGGAGCAUGAUGAACAGGACUGUCUAAGUGAAAAUGAACACGAGUUCGAAUCGCUGGAAUAUGAGGAGGAUGUAUAUUAUUCGAAUUUAACAGCAACUCCGAGUUUCGAUGACAUUGAUGAGCUCAGUGACGACGUGGACGAAAUCGUUGUCCAUUGUUGGCGGGAUUCGAACGGUGAUAUAGACGAGAUCGUGGUGGACGAUGCAAAUUUGUCGGUGGAGACGCAGUUUUUGACGAAUGAUGCCGAGGACGGCGCCACUAAUCGAGACCAGAAGAAGAAGAAAAAAUCAGUUCGAGUAAUAUUCCAAGAUUUUUCGAAACCAUACUUGGCCAAAAUUAGCAACAGUCAAAAUUACAAGAAGUUCCUCGAAUUGGUAAAAGGAGAAGACGCCAGUCUCCAUUCAGCUGGUUACAUUUCGCCAACAUCAGAUAACGUGGUGAAUGAAUUGCAAGGACUUUCUUUGGAAGAACAGAAUCGUCAAAAGGCGGAAUGGAGUGCAGAAUUAGCCAAAGUGGAGGAAGAGAUUCAAACCCUGAGGCAUGUGCUGGCGAACAAGAUCAGAGUCUCUCAAGAUUUAAAGAGGAAGCUGGGUAUCAGCGUUUGGAAGGAGAUCACUGAUGAUAUGAAUCAAGGGUUGAAAAACGUUAAGGAGAGUCAAGUACAUGUAGAACACUUUUCUUUGACUUUUGGUUGGGUUCUCAUUCAGUUAUCAGAACGUCGGCGAGAAACUCGGUCAGAUCACCAAGGCAGUCACCGACAACAGUUUAUUCCAGAAGACGGAGUCUGUGUUCAAGACAACAGCUGAGAAGACGACCAGCAUUCUUGGCGGCUUCGGCAGUGGAUUAUCCAUGAAGCUUGGCCAGAUGCGUAAUUCAGACAGUUUUCGUUCAUUGGAGGAACGAGUUGGAUCUGCCUACGAGAACAUGAAGACGAAAGUUGUGCCUUCAAGAUCCAACUCGAUGCAGAGUUUCAACGAGAUGCUUCGAGACACCGAUUCGUUACGUUCUGCACCAACAGCAACUAGCCCGACCAUUCCUGAAGAUAAACUUCUGUCUUAGAGUUGGGCCUCUCAAGUCUACAUCGAUUUCUGCCUCUUCUCUGCGUAACAUGCUGAUGCGUCGAUCCACGAUGCCAGUUGUUUCGCCCUAUGCUACUCACUAUCACUUUCCACCUGCGUAUUGCUAUGCGAUGUCAUAUAAUCGAUCAUCUAUUAAAAAAGAACAAAAAAAAAAAAAA